UGGGCAUAACAGUCGAUGAAAGCGGGUGG
RNAcentral lists this non-coding RNA (29 nucleotides) under Homo sapiens (human). The record is from RNAcentral. Lineage: Eukaryota; Metazoa; Chordata; Mammalia; Primates; Hominidae.